UGCAGAAUCCCGUGAACCAUCGAGUCUUUGAACGCAAGUUGCGCCCGAGGCCUUCUGGCCAAGGGCACGUCUGCCUGGGCGUCACGCAAACGACGCUCCGCCCUCUCCGCCCCUUGGGCGGGCGGCGGACGCGGACGAUGGCCCUCCGCGCCCACGGACGCGGUGGGCUGAAGCAUGGGCCGUCGGCAGGGACCGAGACACGGCGAGUGGUGGACGUAUCUUCACGCGAGCCGGACGUUGUGCCUUAGGCACCCUUCGAGGAAGGCCCUCCAGACCCUUUUAACCGAGGCGCUUGCCGUCAUCGGACCGCGACCCCAGGUCAGGCGGGACUACCCGCUGAGUUUAAGCAUAUAAAUAAGCGGAGGAGAAGAAACUUACAAGGAUUCCCCUAGUAACGGCGAGCGAACCGGGAACUGCCCAGCUUGAGAAUCGGACGGCUUCGUCGUUCGA
Molecule: ribosomal RNA, 450 nt
Filed under: Sparganium angustifolium
Lineage: Eukaryota; Viridiplantae; Streptophyta; Magnoliopsida; Poales; Typhaceae
Description: eukaryotic LSU rRNA
Rfam family: Eukaryotic large subunit ribosomal RNA (bases 310-450)
Source: RNAcentral